Molecule: ribosomal RNA, 245 nt
Filed under: uncultured bacterium
Lineage: Bacteria
Description: partial 16S ribosomal RNA
Rfam family: Bacterial small subunit ribosomal RNA
Source: RNAcentral
ACGGCGAACGGGUGAGUAACACGUGAGUAAUCCACCCUUGGUACCGGGAUAGCCCGGGGAAACUCGGAUUAAUACCGGAUGGCCCAACAGGUUCUCGAACCGGUUGGAAAAGAUAGCUUCGGCCCUCGACCAAGGACGAGCUCGCGGCGGAUUAGCUUGUUGGUGGGGUAACGGCCUACCAAGGCGACGAUCCGUAGCUGGUCUGAGAGGACGAUCAGCCACACUGGGACUGAGACACGGCCCAG